This 466-nucleotide ribosomal RNA is filed under the name uncultured Desulfobulbus sp. RNAcentral's name for it is "bacterial SSU rRNA". It matches the Rfam family "Bacterial small subunit ribosomal RNA", at positions 338 to 795 of the family's 1533-position model. The record is from RNAcentral. Lineage: Bacteria; Pseudomonadati; Thermodesulfobacteriota; Desulfobulbia; Desulfobulbales; Desulfobulbaceae.
CCUACGGGGGGCAGCAGUGAGGAAUAUUGCGCAAUGGGGGCAACCCUGACGCAGCGACGCCGCGUGAGUGAGGAAGGCCUUCGGGUCGUAAAGCUCUGUCAAAGGGAAAGAAAUGUAUAAUGGCUAAUACCUGUUAUAUUUGACGGUACCCUUAAAGGAAGCACCGGCUAACUCCGUGCCAGCAGCCGCGGUAAUACGGAGGGUGCAAGCGUUGUUCGGAAUCACUGGGCGUAAAGGGCGCGCAGGCGGUUUGGUAAGUCAGAUGUGAAAGCCCACGGCUUAACCGUGGAAGUGCAUUUGAAACUGCCAGACUUGAGUACCAGAGGGGAAAGUGGAAUUCCCGGUGUAGAGGUGAAAUUCGUAGAUAUCGGGAGGAAUACCGGUGGCGAAGGCGACUUUCUGGCUGGAUACUGACGCUGAGGCGCGAAAGCGUGGGGAGCAAACAGGAUUAGAUACCCCUGUAGUC